RNAcentral lists this unclassified non-coding RNA (439 nucleotides) under Hevea brasiliensis (rubber tree). The record is from RNAcentral. Lineage: Eukaryota; Viridiplantae; Streptophyta; Magnoliopsida; Malpighiales; Euphorbiaceae.
GGUGGUUGGAGGCUGGGAAGAAGUCUGUUUUCUAACAAUUAUGUUUCUAUUGUGAUUCUUUGAUUCUUUAUGGCUACUUUAAAAACUUUAUUCUCACUAUAGAUCAACAUUAAGGUGUUGAUUUUAUUCAAUCUUGGAUACAUUAUUUGGAACUUGUCUAGCCAACUAAUCAGUUGCAUGAUUUACAAUUUUAGAGAACCUGUUUGUUGAAUAGUUAGGAAUGAACUAACCUACUCUAUGUUGUUCCAGUCUUUGGAACUAACUUUAGAACAAGAAAAUUGUUAUUAUUAAUGUCUGGGUUUCUCUUGAGUAGGGUUUGAUCUGGCCUACUAUCCAAUUGACAACACUGAGUGCCAUUUUUUUUAUUUUUGGAUUCUUCAUAUUCUCACUUGUUAUGCAACAUGGCCUUUGUAAUUGCAGUUGGAGCAAAUUGUCAAAU